CGCGUAGGCGGACUAUUAAGUCAGGGGUGAAAUCCCGGGGCUCAACCCCGGAACUGCCCUUGAUACUGGUAGUCUUGAGUUCGAGAGAGGUGAGUUGAACUCCGAGUGUAGAGGUGAAAUUCGUAGAUAUUCGGAAGAACACCAGUGGCGAAGGCGGCUCACUGGCUCGAUACUGACGCUGAGGUGCGAAAGUGUGGGGAGCAAACAGGAUUAGAUACCCUGGUAGUCC
Molecule: ribosomal RNA, 229 nt
Filed under: uncultured bacterium
Lineage: Bacteria
Description: partial 16S ribosomal RNA
Rfam family: Bacterial small subunit ribosomal RNA
Source: RNAcentral